This 253-nucleotide ribosomal RNA is filed under the name uncultured bacterium. RNAcentral describes it as "partial 16S ribosomal RNA". It matches the Rfam family "Bacterial small subunit ribosomal RNA", at positions 524 to 776 of the family's 1533-position model. The record is from RNAcentral.
UACGUAGGGGGCAAGCGUUGUCCGGAAUCAUUGGGCGUAAAGAGCGUGUAGGCGGCCCGGUAAGUCCGCUGUAAAAGUCAAAGGCUUAACCUUUGAAUGUCAGUGGAUACUGCCGGGCUAGAGUCCGGAAGAGGCGAGUGGAACUCCUGGUGUAGCGGUGGAAUGCGCAGAUAUCAGGAAGAACACCAACGGCGAAGGCAGCUCGCUGGGACGGUACUGACGCUGAGACGCGAAAGCGUGGGGAGCGAACAGG